This is a long non-coding RNA of Magnolia sinica, 286 nucleotides long. RefSeq lists it as uncharacterized. The transcript is spliced from 2 exons. The record is from RefSeq and is a predicted model, not a curated record. NCBI's taxonomy places the organism in Eukaryota, Viridiplantae, Streptophyta, Magnoliopsida, Magnoliales, Magnoliaceae.
UUGGUUGAAUUACUCUAUCACCAUGAUCUCAACUAUUACGUCUAACAAUUUUCAUGAUCAAGAACAUUUUGGAAGCUUUCAUUAUCUUCCUUACUAUUCUAGGAAUUUAGGUAUCAUAAUGAUCUCACCGAAUUCUCAGAAUUUGAUUCAAGGGAAAAAAGGGGGAAAAAAGUCUGCAACUCCCUGGGGCAAAAGUUGAAAACUUUAGGACCUAAAUCCAUGAAGAAUGAAACUGAACUUUUUAAAACUCUUGUAGCUCAUAAAACUAAAUGGAAGAAAAAAAGAA